RNAcentral lists this unclassified non-coding RNA (253 nucleotides) under uncultured Oligoflexales bacterium. RNAcentral describes it as "contains 16S-23S intergenic spacer region". It matches the Rfam family "Bacterial small subunit ribosomal RNA", at positions 524 to 776 of the family's 1533-position model. The record is from RNAcentral. Lineage: Bacteria; Pseudomonadati; Bdellovibrionota; Oligoflexia; Oligoflexales.
UACGUAGGGUGCUAGCGUUGUUCGGAAUCAUUGGGCGUAAAGCGCGUGUAGGUGGUCAGUAAAGUUGGGUGUGAAAUCCCUCGGCUCAACCGAGGAAGGGCACUCAAAACUAACUGGCUUGAGAGUGGUAGAGGAAGGUGGAAUUCCUAGUGUAGAGGUGAAAUUCGUAGAUAUUAGGAGGAAUACCGGAGGCGAAGGCGGCCUUCUGGACCAUUUCUGACACUGAGACGCGAAAGCGUGGGUAGCAAACAGG